UUCCCUGUAACAGUCCAGUGAGGUCAUUGCUCAGAGCCAUUGAACAUCCGGGUUCAUUAUGCAGAUAUUGUAUACUGAAAACCCACAGAUUAUCCAGUGACCUGGUGAAACCUCCCAACCCCAACAGGUCCAACCCUCUCAUCUUCUCAGCAUCUCUUAAUAAGAGAACGACAGGGUCACGCCAAUGUUCUUUGCAAUCUGGGAUGGGGACACUGCGGCGAGGUUGGAAUGGAGAGCUCUUGGAGUGGGGGGGCCUUCCGCGGGAGGAAGAGUAGCUCUGUCUUUGAGGUGACAGAAUGACCGACCCAAGAAAACAGGAAGCAGCAGGAAAUCCCGCCAUCUCCGCUGAGGGAUCAAAGCUCCACCAGCACGACUCGUGCCUGGAGUGCCUCGUGACUGCCAUGGAUGAGGUGCUCUGGGCCGUACGCCAACUGCGAGCUACACCACCCACCACCUUCCCAGCUCCCCACAGAUGUUCCAGCCACCCCACCACCAUCUACAUCACCCGGUCCGAUCAGCAAAGUCCACCUGCCCCUCCCGGAGCGGUUUGACGAACCCUAGCUCAUUUAGGGGUUUCUCCUGCGGUGUGACCUCCAUCUGGCCUGUCAUGCCGGGGUAGCCUCCGAGAUGGACAAGGUGGCCUUGGUGAUCUCGGUGCUGACAGGCCGGGCUCUGGCGCACGCCGUCUGGGAGAGGGAUGGACCAGAAGUGCAGUCCUAUGAGCGCUUCACCCAACUCUUCCGUGCCGUCUUAGACCACCCUACAGAGGGUCGAUAGGGAGGUGAGCAUCUCCACCGUCUACGCCAGGGGUCCAGGACAGCGUCGGAGUACGCUCUGUAUUUCCGGAAGGUUGCUGCGUCCACUGGCUGGAAUGACCAGGCCCUGUUGACGGUUUUCUGCAGCGGGCUACAGACGGACGUCCAGACCGAGCUGGCCUGUCGCAUUGAGGACCUCACGCUGGACCAGCUAUUUGCCAUUGCCAUCAGCCUGGGAAAUCUCCUGCAUGCCCGUCAUUGCCCAUCCCGGGGAUUCGGGUCUCUCCCAGGAACCUCCAGCGAGACUGAGCCCAUGGAGGUAGGCACGACACACCUUCCCCCUGAGGAACGUCAAUGCCGCCGUCAACAGGGUCUCUGCUCCUACUGUGGUGAGUCGGACCACCCCUGGAACACCUGUCUCUGGAGUAAAACCAAGCGAGGAAGCGAAAGGCCGAGGAGCGCUCCUGCACCUUCCCAGGUAGGCAUGGACGUGCCUUGCUCCUCUCUGUCCAUCCAGCCUAUCCUCCUCCCUAUCACCUUCCCUGACUAUCCUGGCCGCCCACUGAGUCCUGCCCUAGUGCACUCAGGUGCUGCAGGCAACUUCCUAGACCGGUCAGUGGCCUUAUCAUUACGCAUUCCUCUAGUCCCUUGACAACCGUCCCCUAUGAACAGGACUGGUGUGCCAGAGCACAAUUCUCAUUUCCCAUGACCGCAUCACUUUCCUCAUCUUAGACUCUCCUGCACACCCCGCAGUUGUAGGUUUCCCCUGGCUACAGUUGCAUAACCCCAGCAUAUCGUGGACAGAGAGGAGGUUGUUGGGUUGGUCGCAGGGGUGUGAAGGGAGGGGUCUCUCGGUGUCAAUCUGUGCCUCCUCCAUGGAAAGUCCGGACCAGGCCACCCACAUCCCUAUCCUGGAGGAGUACCGGGACAUACAGGUAGCCUUUUCAAAGCCUCGUGCCAUGUGCCUGCCCCCACAUCACCCAUGGGACUGCACUAUCAACCUACUGUCUGGUUCUACCCUCCCGCGGGUGCUUAUCUACCCUCUCUUGCAUGCAGAGACCGAAGCCAUGGAGGCCUACGUCCAGGAGGCGCUGGCCCAAGGAUUCAUCCGUCCGUCCAUCUCUCUGGCCACCUCCAGCUUAUUUUUUGUGAAGAAGGAGGGAGGUCUUAGCCCCUGUAUCGAUUACCAGACACGGAAUAAGGCUACUGUUAAAUUCAGUUAUCCCCUGCCUCUCUGAUCAAACAAAUGCAUGGUGCGAAGUACUUUACUAAAUUGGAUUUACGUAGUGCCUACAACCUGGUGUGCAUCAGAGAGGGGGCUGAAUGGAAAAUCGCCUUCAGCACCGGGCACUACGAAUACAGGGUAAAGCCCUAUGGCCUGACAAAUGCACCCUCGGUGUUUCAAUCAUUCAUUAAUGAGGUGUUUAGAGACAUGUCGGGUCACUGUGUAGUGGUGUGCACAGACCACAUCUUAGUGUACUCCACUACACACAAGCAACAUGCAGACCGCGGAGGUUCUCUCUCACGUCUUCCGGCACUACGGGAUCCCGGAGGACAUUGCGUCUGACCGUGGUCCUCAGUUCACCUCCCGUGUCUGGAAGGCCUUUCAUUGAACGACUGGGGGUCACGGUCAGCCUCACCUCUGGGUACCGUCCCCAAUCAAAUGGGCAGGUGGAAAGGGUAAAUCAGGAACUGCGGAGGUACCUUGUACUGUCCCACCAGCCUUUGCUUUUGUUCCCCCUCCUGUCCAGCUCAGGCGUUCGGCAUUGCCGGCCUUCUAGCUGCUGCCGAAUGCCCUUCACUCAUCUACCCUGGAAUUGUCUCAUUACACACACCUGGUUCCAAUCCCCACUCUCACUGUAUAUAUACUCCCUCUGCCAUUUGUCUUUGUCGGUCAUUGUAAAUGAUACUUGUUUUCCUGAGAGGAAUCUCUUCUACUAUUACCUGAGUACUUUAUAUUUUGCACUUUGGGUUCGCCCUGUGCCUUUUUGUUUAUGAAUAUAUAUUUUGAGCACAACAGCGUUUGGGUUUCGUCCCUCGUUGUUCUGUAGUGCUUAAAUAAAUUCAGUAGUUCUAAA
Non-coding RNA from Salmo salar (Atlantic salmon), 2833 nucleotides. NCBI's taxonomy places the organism in Eukaryota, Metazoa, Chordata, Actinopteri, Salmoniformes, Salmonidae. The record is from RefSeq and is a predicted model, not a curated record.